Molecule: ribosomal RNA, 253 nt
Filed under: uncultured bacterium
Lineage: Bacteria
Description: partial 16S ribosomal RNA
Rfam family: Bacterial small subunit ribosomal RNA
Source: RNAcentral
UACGUAGGCAGCAAGCGUUGUUCGGAGUUACUGGGCGUAAAGGGUGCGUAGGCGGUCCUAUAAGUAUGGUGUGAAAUCUCCCGGCUUAACUGGGAGGGUGCGCUAUAGACUGUGGGACUAGAGUGUGGGAGAGGAAAGUGGAAUUCCUGGUGUAGCGGUGAAAUGCGUAGAUAUUCGCAGGAACACCAGUGGCGAAGGCGGCUAACUGGUCCAUAACUGACGCUGAGGUGCGAAAGCGUGGGGAGCAAACAGG